This is a non-coding RNA of Misgurnus anguillicaudatus (oriental weatherfish), 2341 nucleotides long. NCBI's taxonomy places the organism in Eukaryota, Metazoa, Chordata, Actinopteri, Cypriniformes, Cobitidae. The record is from RefSeq and is a predicted model, not a curated record.
AAGUAAUCAAAGUAUCGCGAGAGCGAGACGAAAUAUGAUUUCUUGAAUCAUUCUCGCGGUACUUUGACGUCAUCCGGCUGUCGGUUCUUGCGGCGCCGCAUUAAGUCAAACAAGCCUCCUGACUGCGUGCGAGAACGUUUGAAUUAUCUGGCACGAGCCCUCACACGUCAAACUUCAACUGACACAACGGUCUCGGUGGAGGUAAUAAGCAAAAGCGCCUUUAAAUUUCGUCAUUUUUUAUACACAUCCCGUUUAUUUUGUAGUUAAUUGUUAGAUAAGUUGGUAAUUUCGACAAGUUUUCGUUACAAGGUAAGAUUUCGUUAUCAUCGUUGCCAUAUAACUUAACUUACAGUAUUUAUAUUGGUUCAAGAGCGCAGUUUGAUAACUCAUUCGAGCCUUUAAACAUCUAAACAUGUCCUCCAAAAAGGAAAAAGGGAAAAACAUUGGAAAACAAUUUCAGCCUAAGGUUUCCUGUGCUGUUUUGCUCCAUUUUACAGAACAAAAUAAGUGCUGAGGUAGCACCAUCCUUGUGGUUAUAGUGAAAGAAUGUGGGUAUUGAGACCAAAAUAAAUAAUGUCCCAUUCUGGACAAACAGCUGUGGACAAUAUGCAGUCAGAGUAGCCUAUUUUCUCACACAGGUAAAGUAUGCAAAGUAAUACCAAACUUCUUUUUAACCUUAACAAAUACUGGCAAGCCAAAUAUACAAUGUUUAUGUGAGGUACUGUGCAAAUGUCUUAGUUUGCUACCAUUAGAUUUGUUAUUUUUGCAAUUGUAUAGUGAUCAUAUAUAAUUAUUUCUCAGUCUCUUUAUUAGAAUACAACCAGAAAAUACAGGAAAUGUGUAUGUAGUAUUAAAAACAAUAUAAACGUAUAAGCUGAAGUGUCAAGUGUUUAGGGUAAACUCUCCUUUCAGUUGAGCAAUAGCAGGCAACUGCAGGAUCUCAAAUGAAAUUAAAUCCUAAUUUCUCAUUCUAAUCGAAUGACUUCAGGACUUCAGUCCCCUCAAAAAAGCUCAAGAUGUGUUUAGUGCCAAGAGAGGUCACACUAAAUACUGACUGAUGUCUGAAGAAGACAUUUAGUUCUGAAACUGGUUUUGUUUUUAAUUUUGUGUACAUUUUUCCUGUAUUUUCAGUUUGUAUCUUAAUAAAAAGAGUGAAAAAUAAAUAUGGAUGGACAUUAAAACUUUGCUAAAACAACAAAGCUGGUGAUGGUGUCCCAAGACUUUUGCACAGUAAUGUAUAUUGACCAAGAGUUGUAAUGAUUAAAAAAAAAAAAUGCAUGUCGCAGUUCAGUAGGAUAGUAAAUUAUCUGAAAGUGAAAUCAUUAUUGAAGGUGAUAUCAUUGUCACUGCAUUCAUUGUAACAUGAUUUUAAACAGUGGGAAUCAUUGUGUACGUUUCUUAAUAAUAUCAAAUACGACUUUUUUUGUCUUGUUGUUUCUAGACCUGAGGAUAAGAUUUCCAGUUUGAAAGUGAAGAAAAUGAAUCAUUAUUUACAGCAAUUAGUAGUUUUUCAGCUGAGAAGCCAGGUGAAACUAUAAGGGCACUAUGAUUUACUUUCAUAUUAUCAUUCUUUUAUAGAUGAGGAGCAACCAGUAAGAAAAAGCAAAAAGAUGUUUUGAUGUUGCCCGAGGCACCUUAUUCACAUCAGUCAAUUUCUUCCAAUAAUGAAUCAAGAAAUCCUGGAGUGGAGAAUCAUUCUGAAAGUAGACCAAAUACAGGACAACACCACAGCAGUGGUUGGAAAAAUGCAGCAGACAAUGAGCAAGCCAAGCUGACUUUCAAAAGAUGAUUCGUUAUCUGUUUCUUCAAAGGGGAGGCAGUUUGGGAAAUAGGAGGAUGCUACAGUUACAAAGGGCGAAUUUCAGCAGCUCAGUUUCACACUUGCAACUAACAAUGAAUUAUAGUUAGAAGACAACGGACAUAUUUGACAUCGGAGUCCAGCAGACAGCCAGAGACACGCACACACACGGAGCUGAAGCGCGUUUGACUGACGCGUACGGGAGAUCAGGAACGCGCACGGGAGCUUGCGCACGCACACACAAACACGGAGCACAGGAAAUUUACAACUGUUCAAAUAAAAUAAAAGAACUUUGUGGUAAACAAUGUUUAGCGUGUCUGAUUUCAUUGGUGUAAUGAAAUAAAACGACGUGCUGAGGACUUUAGGCGAACGUCCCCUAAAAGUCCCGAAAGUCCGCUGACCGUCCUGCAAACGUCCUUGUGAAAGUCCGGAGGACGUCCUCGCGGACGUCCGCUCGACGUAACAGGGGACCCUACACGAUAACGUCCAGGGGACGUUCGCAGAGGACAUUUAGGGGACGUCCAGGGGACCUUUUUUUGUUAG